AUUAGAUUUUGCAGCUGCAACAAAGACAAUGAAGCAGCAUCCAGUAAAUUUAACUAAGGUUUAACCGUAAAGUGAGAAAAUAGUAAGUGUCAAGAAAUUCCGCAUGCGGUGUUGAAGAAAGCAAGGAGGAGACAGCGGUCAGCGUUCAGCGGGUUAAAGCUGAAAGUCUUUGUAAGCGAUGGCAUUGUUAAUGAUUAACAAUUUUGGGCUAUUAAAAAUACUCAAUAAGGUGUUUAAACGCCAUCAACAUAGAUAGAAAUCAUCGCCAGUGCUAAAAUAAAAAUGCGAAAAAAGUUGAUGAUAAAAAAAGGAAACUGAAACCCACAAAUUUUUUGCGUUUGUCAAUUUGAGUUCAUUGAUGUCGAGGGAGGAGCAGCCAAUACACGUAAAUGAGUAUGAAACAUGCAGAUACUGCGUUUGCUUGUGUAGGUGCGCAAAAUUUUGGGUGCAGGCACAAAAACAAGACAAGCUUUGAUGAUAAAAAUAAAAAAGCGUGCAUUGACAGGCGGCUGAAUUGCGUCAAUUACACCAACAUUGUCGGAAAAAACCCUAAGAAAUUCAAAAAAUUUAUAUAAACGAGCGUACAUCUCACCAAAAAUUCCGUACGCCAAACUCAAACGCCAUCAAGCACUCGUAUCCGCUCGCAUGUAACAAAAGACUUAAGUAGCAAACCUGCGCCGAAUUACUUCAGCUAUAGCAGCCGUGUAGCCCCUAGCUCUGAUUUAUAGCAGACAUCUGAACGUGGUAAGACAAGCGCAUAAAUUUCAUAAUCCAAUUAUAACUGUAAAACAAAUGUGAAAAAACCAAAAGUUAUUAAUAAAAACUACAACAAAAAGUCAGCAAGGCAAGUAGAGAAACAAAAAAUAUAUAACAAA
Molecule: long non-coding RNA, 875 nt
Organism: Anastrepha obliqua
Lineage: Eukaryota; Metazoa; Arthropoda; Insecta; Diptera; Tephritidae
Exons: 3
Source: RefSeq, a predicted model, not a curated record